AAUUUGCUGUAUCUGCAGAAUCACAAGCUAACCAACAAUGAAGGUCUUCAUCGCUCUAUUACUAGCCACUGUGGCGUUGGUCGCCGAAGGAUCUGCUGUAUCCACAGUUUGGCCAUCUCACUAUGGCGGAUGGAACUCUUGGAAUGGAUGGAAUGGUUGGAAUGGAUGGAAUGAUCAUGGUGCGCUUGCUUAUUCCUAUGCUAAAUCGUGGUCAUCCUCCUGGCAGGGCGCACCGCUGUACAAAGGCUGGGGUGGAUAUUACAACGGAGCCAGCUCGUGGGGUCUUCCCUGGGGAAGCUAUGCAAAUGAUUGGGGACAUCACGGCGUUGUGAAGACUGUCGUGCCUGCCAAGACGAACUACUGGGGACUGUCAUGGGGAUCGUACGGAUCAGGAGCUCACGGCUGGGGAUACUAGGGAGGGGCUGAUUUCGAGACACGAUUGUAUAUGAUGGAAAAUUCUCUUGGAUCCUACGAACAUUCCUCAUACUGGCCGUCUUACUCUGCUGGAUGGAGCUCCUGGAGAAACGGCUGGAACGGUUGGAACAGCUGGAAUGAUCACCAAGUAGCUUCUUAUCCAU
Molecule: long non-coding RNA, 578 nt
Organism: Wyeomyia smithii (pitcher-plant mosquito)
Lineage: Eukaryota; Metazoa; Arthropoda; Insecta; Diptera; Culicidae
Exons: 3
Source: RefSeq, a predicted model, not a curated record